GAUGAACGCUGACAGAAUGCUUAACACAUGCAAGUCAACUUGAAUUUGGGUUUUUAACUUAGGUUUGGGUGGCGGACGGGUGAGUAACGCGUAAAGAACUUGCCUCACAGUUAGGGACAACAUUUGGAAACGAAUGCUAAUACCUAAUAUUAUGAUAAUAGGGCAUCCUAUAAUUAUGAAAGCUAUAAGCGCUGUGAGAGAGCUUUGCGUCCCAUUAGCUAGUUGGAGAGGUAACGGCUCACCAAGGCGGUGAUGGGUAGCCGGCCUGAGAGGGUGAUCGGCCACAAGGGGACUGAGACACGGCCCUUACUCCUACGGGAGGCAGCAGUGGGGAAUAUUGGACAAUGGACCAAGAGUCUGAUCCAGCAAUUCUGUGUGCACGAUGAAGUUUUUCGGAAUGUAAAGUGCUUUCAGUUGGGAAGAAAGAAAUGACGGUACCAACAGAAGAAGUGACGGCUAAAUACGUGCCAGCAGCCGCGGUAAUACGUAUGUCACGAGCGUUAUCCGGAUUUAUUGGGCGUAAAGCGCGUCUAGGUGGUUAUGUAAGUCUGAUGUGAAAAUGCAGGGCUCAACUCUGUAUUGCGUUGGAAACUGUAUAACUAGAGUACUGGAGAGGUAAGCGGAACUACAAGUGUAGAGGUGAAAUUCGUAGAUAUUUGUAGGAAUGCCGAUGGGGAAGCCAGCUUACUGGACAGAUACUGACGCUGAAGCGCGAAAGCGUGGGUAGCAAACAGG
Molecule: ribosomal RNA, 735 nt
Filed under: uncultured Fusobacterium sp.
Lineage: Bacteria; Fusobacteriati; Fusobacteriota; Fusobacteriia; Fusobacteriales; Fusobacteriaceae
Description: bacterial SSU rRNA
Rfam family: Bacterial small subunit ribosomal RNA
Source: RNAcentral